CUCUGCACACACACACACACACACACACACACACACACACACACACACACACACACGCACACACACACACGCACACACACACACGCACGCACACACACACACGCACACACACGCACACGCAAGGCUGCCGAGCACAGGGCCGCGCCGCGCCGGUCGCCGCUUGUCUGCGCUCUUCGCGGGGGGUCGAGCGCGCACGUGCGUUUGUGCGUGCGGGGGUGGCUGAUGCGUUUGCUUCGCUCUCCCUACUCGUGCAGCCCCCUGCCUGGCGAUGCUGCGCUGUGCCCCUAGCAAGCUGUUCCGCGCCACGCCGCUGCUGCGUGUGUGGGCCGCGGAGGAGGACGACGCGAGCGCCCCGCGGACGACCUUCAGGAACGUGAGGCCUGGCCGGCUGCUGCGGCUGUGGCGCCAGAUGCGGCACCGCGCAUGGAUCCUGUACGCGUGGGAUGAGGAGUGGGUGUCGCCGAUGCAGGAGGGCUACCUGCACCAGCAGCGUCUCGAGCAGGUGUGCUUCGCGCCGCUGUCCGCGUACGGCAUGGUGCCUGGCAGCUACUGCGAUCCCCUGCUGUACAACACCAAGAGCACGUCGCCGUUCCGGUGGCACGUGGCGAACGUGCAGGGCGACAUUGUCGGACACUGGUACAUGGACGCCGACGAGCUGUUCCGCAUCAAGGACUGGCAGCCAAGGAACCCGGACGACCCGCUGGAGAUGUUCCCGCGACCGCCGCAGAUGCUGCUGCGGUGGGACGAGUCGGUGGACGAGCACGGCAACCGCGCGUUCCGGUACAGGUACGACUACGAUAUGAUGGGUCCCACGGGCAAGUGGGAGGCGUACCCGCGGUACCCCUUCUCUCACCUUUACCAUGGCGGGCCAGACCAGCACGGACGCGCUGAGGGGUACGGCUUCCAGCAGGGCCACCUCCUGCGCUGCGACGAGGCGGAGGAGGAGGUGCUGCGCCGCAUCAUGGAGGGGGAGGACAGGGAGUGGGAGAUGGUGAAGCGGACGGAGGCGGUGCAGGAGCCGUGGUCGUACCCCGGCAAGAUCCGCCCGAGGGACUUUGAGGGGCGGUGGAGCGUGCCAAGGCGCGGUUCCGCGAGCGGGUCCGACACGGCAAGGAGACGGACCCGAGCGAGGACCCCGAGUACGACCUUGCUCAGGCCAGCGAGUACGUGGAGCCGCGCGAUGGGCGGCGGGCGGAAUGGCGGCAUUUGUGGGCGUCGGGCCGCAAGCCCGGCGAGUCGCUGCCCUUCCAAGUAACGUUCAACGACGGACUGUGCUUCGAGGAGAACGAGGGCGGCCCGCCAGCGCACCCGGCGGCGCACUACGAGGCGACGCCGAAGGGGGCGCCGCACGGGAGGUACGAGGACGCCGACGCCGCUGCAGCCCGCGCAGCCGAAGCGGCGCACAAGGCUGUGUGUGAGCAGUCGUUGAGCGAGGCGAUGGAGCGGCAUCGCAGGCUGUUCGGCGACACGAGCGGCGAGCCGAGCGGGCCGAGGGCGCCUCUGCCGACGGGUUGCCGGCCGAUGAGGUGCGCGCCGGGCCCGCCGCUGCCAUCUGGCCGCAGCCGGAGCUCGGCGCCAGAGCAGUGAGCAGCGGGCCCGUGUGUGGCGCAGGGGCGCGUGAUGGGAGAGCGAAGGGGAGGGGCGCGGUGGUGAAGCGCCUCCCGGUUACGGUGUGCGCGCGUGCUCACGGCGGCGGCGGGAGGGGCGGGUGUGACGACGGCGCGACACGCUCGACACGGGUGCCGCCUCGUCUCUCUCUCCUUCGGGAGUUUGACUGCCGCCCGCCACGCGCCUGGUGCUCGCUGCCCGCCGGCACCGUGUGCGCGGCUCAUCCGCACCCCUGCGGUGCCUUGCAAGGCCGGCAUUUGGUGCCGCAUUGGACGGGCGGGUGCGGCUACGAUGGCGGCGGUAGGGCUGCCUGCGCCGCACCGCUUGCGCGUGUGCGCCAACGGACCGUCCACACCCUUUCCCCACUCGUCUCCGCUCGGCGCUUCCCGGGCCUCCUGCUUGGCAUGCGCUGCCGCGCUCGUAGCGGCUCGGGCAAUGGGAGGCGGAGGCGGCGGCCGCUGCGGAACGAGAGAGGCGGCGAUGGAGGCACGCUGGGUGAAGGGGCGCGGGGCGGCGGACGAUCGUGCCCCGUCACCCUCCCCCUGCCCUGCGAUCUGCUCCCGCUGAUGCGCGACUGCCGACGGUGCCGAUGCUCUGCCUUCCGUCUGCUCUACGCGCCCUUGCGUGUCUCUCGGCAGGCCUCGGGGCAUCACGCACGCACCCGCACAUACACGUGCGUGCGUCUGUGCGCGUGCGCGUGUGCCUCUCUUGCUGGCCGCCUCUGUCGCGGCCGGCGCGCGCUGCUGCUGGCCGGGCAACGGGCGCAUGCAGUCACACAGGCCCGCAUCUCCGCCCGCGUCCGGUGCACUGCUUGCGUGCCUCACCGCCCGUGGCAUCCGCCUCUGCCUGCUGGUAUGCUGCGCGCCCCCUCGCUCUCCUCCUCCCUGCCCUGCCCGCCCGCCCCGCAAGAGCCAUGCACGCGCGUCGGCUCCCCUGACCGCCUGUGCUCACGAGCAGCCGCGGAGGGAGGGGGAGGCGAACGGAUGCCGGUGCGGCUGUGCGUGCCGAUGGAGGGCAUCCGGAUGCCGCGCUGCCGCCCGUGCCGCCGUCGCGGUGGCGUUGCGGGUGUCUCUUGUCUGGUUUGCUUUGCCGCUGCGUGCUGAGCGGAGGCGUGUGCGGCGGGCGGGGCGUUCCUGAGCGCGCCGCGGACUCCGCACACCGGGUGCGGUGAGCUGGAGGACUCGGUGGCCGGCGCUUGGAGCGAUGUGGUGGGGAGGGGCUGAGGGCGUCGAGCCGCUGAGUGGCGCCGUGUGCGCGUGACGGAACGCACAUCGCAGGGUGGGCUGUGCCGGCCGCCUGGCCAACUGCUCGCGCGGGUGUGCGCCGGCGCCCUGGAUGAGCGGUGGCAGUGUGUGCCCUGCGGCCGUGAUGGGGGCCGCAGCCACGCAUGGCGCGCCGCCGCCGUGUGGGUGGCGGAGGCACCGGCGCGCUGUAGCACGAUGGGCUGGCCACACGCGAGGCUGCUGCUGCGUCGAGUGGGCGGCGUUGCUGCUUGUACGCGCUGACUGGUGCACCCGUGCGUGCAUGUGCAGAGCGGCGUGAGCGCGCACAGGCGUGCAUAUGCCGCCACGCUCACACGGGAGUGGUGUGGCCUGCUGCGCUGGUCUCCCUCUGUUGGACGCAGGGCUGCUGGUAGGCGGUGCGGGCUGCCGGGCUUGCGGGCGCGCACGUGCGCGAGCGCUGGGUGGUGCGCGCCGCUGCUCUCCCGCUGCUCUCCGCCGAGCACCCCCUCGCCGACGAGCGGCUGCCGCUGCCUCGCACAUCCUUCUUUCUGUGUGCGAGGUGCAUGAUAAUGGUAUGCGGAUGCUGGUGGGGCUGCGCAUGGGCGCUCGCCUCUCUCCCACACGCGGGCUCGACGUAUCCGUGCUGUCAGCGCUCCUGCCCACCGCCCCCACGCGUGUGUGCGCGCGCUCCGGCGCUGCUGCCGCUGGCGCUGUUGUGUGUGUGCAGGGGCCGCGCCACGCACACGCACGGGAGUGAGGGGGAGCCGCAGCGACCGACCGGGCGGAGGGGGCGCUCCCGCCCGCUGGUCAUGCUCUCUGUUUCGCUGGCCGGCCUCUCUACGCCGCUGGCGUGGGCGAAGCUCCGCGCUGCGUAUCGCUCGCCCCUCCCUGCCCCUCGCCUCCUCCUCCUCAUGUGCACUGCUCCCUCCCUCUCCCUCCCUCUCCGCUCCUCGCUGUCCCCUCGGCCGACCUCCACGGACACGCAG
Molecule: unclassified non-coding RNA, 3817 nt
Filed under: Leishmania donovani
Lineage: Eukaryota; Euglenozoa; Kinetoplastea; Trypanosomatida; Trypanosomatidae
Description: gene:LdHU3.12.1110(CDS-product:hypothetical_prote in_conserved)
Source: RNAcentral